ACGUUUGGCUUUCUAUCAUUUAGGCCCAUAUAUUCCGGGUAUGAAGCCGGAUCCUAUAGCCCGUUGGUAUUUGAACGGGUCAAGUACGGAUCAGAUACUAUGACAUAUUGCCACGGGUUUGGCGCUUUUUAGAAAGAUAAGAGAUGCAUUAGUCGGGACUCGGGCGGUAUCUUCGGCGCUAUAAUUUUAAUUGGGCUUUUAAUGGGCCUGAAUCUUUUGGGCAUAUUAUCCAUUUAUGUUUGGAAGGUGCAUCAACCUUUUUUGAAAGUAUACAUGCAGUAUAGUAUUCAUCGCAUUCUUGUUUUUUUAUUUUUUUUCCCUGUUGUCUAUUUGAAGUC
Molecule: long non-coding RNA, 338 nt
Organism: Arabidopsis thaliana (thale cress)
Lineage: Eukaryota; Viridiplantae; Streptophyta; Magnoliopsida; Brassicales; Brassicaceae
Product: other RNA
Exons: 1
Source: RefSeq